CCUACGGGGGGCAGCAGUGAGGGAUAUUGGUCAAUGGGGGAAACCCUGAACCAGCAACGCCGCGUGAGGGAAGACGGUUUUCGGAUUGUAAACCUCUGUCCUCUGUGAAGAUAAUGACGGUAGCAGAGGAGGAAGCUCCGGCUAACUACGUGCCAGCAGCCGCGGUAAUACGUAGGGGGCAAGCGUUAUCCGGAUUUACUGGGUGUAAAGGGAGCGUAGACGGCAGCACAAGUCUGGAGUGAAAUCCCGGGGCUUAACCCCGGAACUGCUUUGGAAACUGUGCGGCUGGAGUGCAGGAGGGGUAAGCGGAAUUCCUAGUGUAGCGGUGAAAUGCGUAGAUAUUAGGAGGAACACCGGUGGCGAAGGCGGCUUACUGGACUGUAACUGACGUUGAGGCUCGAAAGCGUGGGGAGCAAACAGGAUUAGAUACCCCAGUAGUC
RNAcentral lists this ribosomal RNA (440 nucleotides) under uncultured bacterium. RNAcentral describes it as "partial 16S ribosomal RNA". It matches the Rfam family "Bacterial small subunit ribosomal RNA", at positions 338 to 795 of the family's 1533-position model. The record is from RNAcentral.